UACGGAGGGAGCUAGCGUUGUUCGGAAUUACUGGGCGUAAAGCGCGCGUAGGCGGCUUUGUAAGUUAGAGGUGAAAGCCCGGAGCUCAACUCCGGAACUGCCUUUAAAACUGCAUCGCUUGAAUCCAGGAGAGGUGAGUGGAAUUCCGAGUGUAGAGGUGAAAUGCGUAGAUAUCGGAAGGAACACCUGUGGCGAAAGCGGCUCACUGGACCAUAACUGACGCUGAGGCGCGAAAGCUAGGGGAGCAAACAGG
Molecule: ribosomal RNA, 253 nt
Filed under: uncultured bacterium
Lineage: Bacteria
Description: partial 16S ribosomal RNA
Rfam family: Bacterial small subunit ribosomal RNA
Source: RNAcentral